CCUACGGGUCGCACCAGUGGGGAAUAUUGGACAAUGGGCGAAAGCCUGAUCCAGCAAUGCCGCGUGUGUGAAGAAGGACUUCGGAUUGUAAAGCAUUUUCGACGGUGACGAUGAUGACGGUACCCGUAGAAGAAGCCCCGGCUAACUUCGUGCCAGCAGCCGCGGUAAUACGAAGGGGGCUGGCGUUGCUCGGAAUGACUGGGCGUAAAGGGCGCGUAGGCGGUUUAUGCAGUCAGAUGUGAAAUCCCCGGGCUAAACCUGGGAACUGCAUUUGAGACGCAUAGACUAGAGGUCGAGAGAGGGUUGUGGAAUUCCCAGUGUAGAGGUGAAAUUCGUAGAUAUUGGGAAGAACACCGGUGGCGAAGGCGGCAACCUGGCUCGAUACUGACGCUGAGGCGCGAAGGCGUGGGGAGCAAACAGGAUUAGAUACCCCCGUAGUC
This 440-nucleotide ribosomal RNA is filed under the name uncultured bacterium. RNAcentral describes it as "bacterial SSU rRNA". It matches the Rfam family "Bacterial small subunit ribosomal RNA", at positions 338 to 795 of the family's 1533-position model. The record is from RNAcentral.